GGGAGGUGUGAUCCUGUGCUUCCUGGAAGGUGUGAUAUCGUGGUUCCUGGGAGGUGUGAUAUCGUGGUUCCU
This 72-nucleotide microRNA precursor is filed under the name Homo sapiens (human). RNAcentral describes it as "mir-3689 microRNA precursor family". It matches the Rfam family "mir-3689 microRNA precursor family". Lineage: Eukaryota; Metazoa; Chordata; Mammalia; Primates; Hominidae. The record is from Rfam by way of RNAcentral.